This 305-nucleotide ribosomal RNA is filed under the name uncultured bacterium. RNAcentral describes it as "bacterial SSU rRNA". It matches the Rfam family "Bacterial small subunit ribosomal RNA", at positions 30 to 334 of the family's 1533-position model. The record is from RNAcentral.
AUUGAACGCUGGCGGCAUGCCUUACACAUGCAAGUCGAACGGCAGCACGGGUACUUGUACCUGGUGGCGAGUGGCGAACGGGUGAGUAAUACAUCGGAACGUACCUUAUCGUGGGGGAUAACGCAGCGAAAGCUGUGCUAAUACCGCAUACGCCCUGAGGGGGAAAGCGGGGGAUCGAAAGACCUCGCGCGAUUAGAGCGGCCGAUGCUUGAUCAGCUUGUUGGUGGGGUAAAGCCCACCAAGGCGACGAUCAAUAGCUGGUCUGAGAGGACGAUCAGCCACACUGGGACUGAGACACGGCCCAG